GAUGCUUUCAGGUUGAUCCACGCACCCGACCGAAAGGCUCCACUGCAUUUACGUCCAUGUUACAGGUUGCCUUUAUCACGAAACAGUAAAACAUCGUUUUUCCUUUAUGCAACAAUACCGUUUCUUUGUUUCUAUGGUCUGACGAAAAUAAUGUCUCGCGGUAGAGUUUUUAUUUUACUAAAGAACAUAUGCACUAAAAGAAGACGGUAUUAUAACUUUAUAAGAGGGAAAGUAGAUAUCGAAUGCGUUUCUAAAAUUUCUUACAUCACGGCGUAGAAAGUCCGGGCACAACAGGUCUUUCUGUAAUCUUGUCAACGUUUUGUAAUAAUUUCGAAAACACAGAGAAAACUAUAUGCCACGUGCCAGAGGUCUACGUAAGCACGAAGAUAACACCGAGCAGCUGCUUAUGCACGGUGCAGGUGAAGACAAGUAACGCAGAUGCUUCUUUUCAAAUAUGCUUUACAAUAAAACACAUCGACAUCUAAGCAAAUUGAGUCCAGAUUUCGUUGAAACUUUCCAUUAGAAGGAUGAUCCACAUGAUCUAUUUACUACACGACAUUCAUGAAGGAACAAUUACUUGUGGGUCAGUGGAAGUGUUCAGCCACAAGCUAUUUCGAUGACAGUAACCUAUAUUUCCACCGACUUUGCAGUGUCAAACUAAAGAUAGCAUCACGCAUCUAAAUUUUCAUUUCGCUGGACUAAAUUCCCACUUUUCUCGCGUCGCGCUGCUAUUCACCAUAGCCUUAAUAGUGUUGCGUGUGUUCCUUUACUUUUGCGCGUUAGAAAGUGCCAGGGAAAGUAAUACAUCAAACAAACAGGUUAAAGAAACAUAAGAACUGGUAUACAAAUACAUUUAAGAAUAACAGUCUUAAAGCAUUAAUAUAUUAUUAGAAUUAUUUUAAAUAAUACGAUGUCCGAUACCGAAGAGAUUAUAACCCUCAAAAGACGGAUAUUUCUGGCUGAUCAUUUUCACUUGUAAUUAAAACGUCGUUUUACGCAAGUUUCAAAGCUGUAUUAUAUUUUCUACACAAAGAGUAUAUAAGAAACUUUUAUCUCAUUGUACAUAACAAACUUUUUAUAUUUUCUUGGCGUAGCUGGGUUUAAAUAAACCCGUAAUUGUCAUGCGUGGGUUAAUAUCAUGUCCUUUACAGGUUACAAAAGUUUUCGAAAGAACUGUUCGUAAAAUAAUGCAGGUACAGAGAUGAUUCUACUUUCCUUCGACAAACUGGCACACCGCUUUCAGCUUCAGGUCAUGGAAUCAAUAGAGCGAGUGGUCGCGCGCAUCCCAUAGGGUAGAAACAAACUAAAGUUAAUACAAGAAACACAUUCAUUGCAUAUGGCGUAUGCAAUGUAUCAGAUCUACACACAAAAGUAUAGUGUGCAUCCAAAAAGACCUGACCUGCCCGUACCUUUUUAACUCGAUUGUAACCUGUUCGUUCCCAUCUUCCAUCGAUUCUACCUAUAGUAGCUUUUUCGACCGUAUCUGCUGCUCUAAAAUUGCGCUUAUGUGCCUAUCUACAGUUAGAAACUAAUCGCUAAAGGAUUAUCACAGGUCAGCGAGUGUUCAACCUUCCGUGCGCAUAGCACGGUUCAAUACCAUACUACAAAACGGA
This 1613-nucleotide unclassified non-coding RNA is filed under the name Megachile rotundata (alfalfa leafcutting bee). RNAcentral's name for it is "cAMP-dependent protein kinase catalytic subunit, transcript variant X13". Lineage: Eukaryota; Metazoa; Arthropoda; Insecta; Hymenoptera; Megachilidae. The record is from RNAcentral.